GUGGGUGUAGCUCAGUUGGUUAGAGUGCUAGGUUGUGGCCCUGGAGGUCGUCGGUUCGAGUCCGAUCACCCACCCCA
RNAcentral lists this transfer RNA (77 nucleotides) under Coriobacteriales bacterium. RNAcentral describes it as "tRNA-His". It matches the Rfam family "tRNA". Rfam says of the family: Transfer RNA (tRNA) molecules are approximately 80 nucleotides in length. Their secondary structure includes four short double-helical elements and three loops (D, anti-codon, and T loops). Further hydrogen bonds mediate the characteristic L-shaped molecular structure. tRNAs have two regions of fundamental functional importance: the anti-codon, which is responsible for specific mRNA codon recognition, and the 3' end, to which the tRNAs corresponding amino acid is attached (by aminoacyl-tRNA synthetases). tRNAs cope with the degeneracy of the genetic code in two manners: having more than one tRNA (with a specific anti-codon) for a particular amino acid; and 'wobble' base-pairing, i.e. permitting non-standard base-pairing at the 3rd anti-codon position. The record is from RNAcentral. Lineage: Bacteria; Bacillati; Actinomycetota; Coriobacteriia; Coriobacteriales.